Molecule: ribosomal RNA, 460 nt
Filed under: uncultured bacterium
Lineage: Bacteria
Description: partial 16S ribosomal RNA
Rfam family: Bacterial small subunit ribosomal RNA
Source: RNAcentral
CCUACGGGUGGCAGCAGUGAGGAAUAUUGGUCAAUGGCCGUAAGGCUGAACCAGCCAAGUCGCGUGAAGGAAGAAGGAUCUAUGGUUUGUAAACUUCUUUUAUAGGGGAAUAAAGGUAUUCACGUGUGGAUAUUUGCAUGUACCCUAUGAAUAAGCAUCGGCAAACUCCGGGCCAGCAGCCGCGGUAAUACGGAGGAUGCGAGCGUUAUGCGGAUUUAUUGGGUUUAACGGGUUCGUAGGUUGUUUUUUAAGUCAAGGGUGAAAGUUUGUGGCUCAACCAGAAAAUUGCCGUUGAAACUGGAAGACUUGAGUGUGGUUGAGGUGAGCGGAAUGCGUGGUGUAGCAGGGAAAUGCGUAGAUAUCACGCAGAACUCCGAUUGCGAAGGCGACUUACUAAGCCAUAACUGACACUGAAGAGCGAAAGCGUGGGGAUCAAACAGGAUUAGAUACCCCAGUAGUC